This 104-nucleotide ribosomal RNA is filed under the name uncultured bacterium. RNAcentral describes it as "partial 16S ribosomal RNA". It matches the Rfam family "Bacterial small subunit ribosomal RNA", at positions 1379 to 1482 of the family's 1533-position model. The record is from RNAcentral.
CCUUGUACACACCGCCCGUCAAGCCACGGAAGUUGACAGUACCCGAAGUCGUGCACCCAACCGCAAGGAGGGAAGCGCCCACGGUAAGGUCGAUGACUGGGACU